Molecule: ribosomal RNA, 489 nt
Filed under: uncultured bacterium
Lineage: Bacteria
Description: partial 16S ribosomal RNA
Rfam family: Bacterial small subunit ribosomal RNA
Source: RNAcentral
AUGAACGCUAGCUACAGGCUUAACACCUGCAAGUCGCGGGGCAGCAUGGGGGUUGCUUGCAAUCCCCGAUGGCGACCGGCGCACGGGUGAGUAACGCGUAUCCAACCUGCCCUUCACCACGGGAUAACCCGGCGAAAGUCGGACUAAUACCGUAUGUUGUCCAUUGACGGCAUCCGAUUUGGACGAAAGGUUUGGCGGUGAAGGAUGGGGAUGCGUCCGAUUAGCUGGACGGCGGGGUGACGGCCCACCGUGGCGACGAUCGGUAGGGGUUCUGAGAGGAAGGUCCCCCACACUGGAACUGAGACACGGUCCAGACUCCUACGGGAGGCAGCAGUGAGGAAUAUUGGUCAAUGGGCGUAAGCCUGAACCAGCCAAGUAGCGUGCAGGAUGACGGCCCUAUGGGUUGUAAACUGCUUUUAUGCGGGGAUAAAGUGGCCCACGUGUGGGUUUUUGCAGGUACCGCAUGAAUAAGGACCGGCUAAUUCCGUG